GUAUGUGCUAUGCAUGUGGAAGAAAGACGACAAUCAGAGAAAGAAGAGAAGGAUUAAAAAUCUUUACAGUGAGAAGACUGACAAUAGCACGUGGAAGAGGAUAACAUUUCUUUUCACGUACUCCACUACGACCAUAAUACAAGAGGAAAUCUGAUUCCUCUCCAGAUAAUAUGUCAAUGUAAAACAACAAAAGGGGUCCCUUUCAAGGGACCACCCCAGCACAUCAUGUAAUCAACAGAAGAUGUAGUCCUUUAUAAAGGACCACAUAGCUGUAAAAGUAUUCUGUUAAAAGAAAGCAAAGUGCACUAAAAAAAAAGCAAAGCGCACACAAAAACUUACCCACUAAAUAAAGAAGCUUGUCCCUUCACUCAGUACCACCAAAAGCAAAAAAAACUAUGGAUAAACUCAAAAAAUGAACACAUAAGGCUCUCGAUAGACUUUGAAGACCUCUAUAAAAGAGGAAUCCUCACUAACAGAAAGGGCAUCUCUUUUGGUGGAGAAUCAGAGUGUGGUUAGGAGAGAAAUUUUGCCUUCUGAAGUGUGGGGAAUUUUUAAAAUUGUCUUCAUAAGGAAAAAUGUUAGCGAUCAUGGGCUAAGAAAGAAGCUCUCUCAUAAGAGAAGAUAUAUCUUUUACAAGAUCAAUAAAGGAGGGCUUAUCCUUGCAUGGCUUCUGUAGGCACAUAUGUGGAUUCUUUACUUUGGACGAAGUUUCCUACCUGCCAUUCUAAGAGUUCGUCUGUAUUAUAAGGUUUGGGUUUUAUGAAUUUUAUUCCCUGAGAUGCCACACAUCUACAAUUCCUUGAGUGUUUAAGCUAUAUUUGACUUGGUCAUUGUCGCUAAGUCUUCCUACGACAACAACUAAGACUAGGAGGUUAUCACCUUCUAUCAUAUCUUCAUAUCCUCUAGUUUGUAUUCUGAUACAGAGAUAUUUAUAAAAAUCUUUAAUGCUCAUGUAUGUAUUUCGGUGUUAAAUAUAUCAUUUCAGCACCUUUGUCUAGUUUAUUUCCAUACCUCCUAAAUUUGCUUUAGUAGCUUUUUGGAAACAUUGGUCUUGGACCUUAACAAUGCAUUUUGCUCCUGUGUUUUUCCUAUGAAGAGGUUUGAUUUUUACUACAAUUAAACCUAUGUGGAUGAGGCUGUAUCCAUGGGUUUUAAGUGUUAAGAUACCUUCUGCAUUGAGCAAUGGUAUGGUUUUUGUUUGGUUUUCUAGAACAGAUAUUGCUAGUUCUCUAUUGUAAGUAUAUCUGCCCUCUAAUCUUCUCCACUCGUUAUGGUGGUAGAGGGUUUCGGGGUUUAAGACUUGUCGAAGUCCUCUUUCUUGUUGACCUUCUGAAAUUUAAUCUAGUACUUCUAGUUGUAGGUUAUGGCUACUAGACAAAUCUCUGUCUCGUCUUCUUCUAAAAGUUUAACCUAAACAAGAUAGGUGUGAUCUAUUACCCAAAGUGGGAGUUUCUCGUAAGGUACGAAAUCUUCCUAUAAAGGGUGAAAUUGUCAUAGUUUAACUCAUUGCGUAAUCAUGCCUCUUCUCAUAAGAUUGGAUUCUCAAUCUUUUAAAAGAUCAAUAGCAGUUGGCUCUAAUACCAUUUUGAAAUUAAUAGUUGCACUUAAAAGCUUCUGUUUGAUUAACACGCAUGCCUAUUGCAAAAUCCCCUUGCCUCAAAUUUGGUUCUUGAUUAAACCUACUAACUGCGUUUAUGCUAUUUUCCGAUGGCAAAUGUGUAGCCAGUUUGGUACUCUGUGCCCUAGCACUUAGGUUAUCACAAGAAAAAAAAAUGAGACUAAAAAGAUGAGGUACAAUAUGCAAAUUCAUAUAAGCAUUAAACACCAACAAGUAUAUUAGAAAGCAUCUAAGAAAACACUACUUACAGGAUAAGCCCUCCUUUAUUGAUCUUGUAAAAGAUAUACCCUCUCGUAUGAGACAGGUUCUUUUCUUAGCCAAUAACCGCUAACAUUUUCUGUUAGGAAUACAAUUUUAAAAAUUCCUCACACUUCAGAAGGCAAGAUUUCUCUCCUAACCACACUUUGAUUCUUCACCAAAAGAGAUGCCCCUUCUGUUAGUGAGGACUCCUCUUUUAUAUAGGUCUUUGAAGUCUCUCGAGAGCCUUACAUGACCAUUCUUCCAGCUUAUCCACAGCUUUUUUCUGCUUUUAGGCGGUAGUGAGUGAAGGGACAAUCUUCUUUCUUUAGUGGGUAUCUUUUGCAGUGCGCUUUGCUUUCUUUCGACAGAAUACUUUUACAGCUAUGGGGUCCUUUAGAAAGGACUGCAUCUUUGUUGAUCACAUGAUGUGCUGGGUGGUCUCUUGAAAGGGACCCCUUUUGUCGUUUUACGUUGACACACACACACACACACACAACUAUAUAUAUAUAUAUAUAUAUAUAUAUAUAUAUAUAUAUAUAUAUAUCGACUUAACAGAACAAAGUAUCCGCAACAUACUAUCAGUAAUUAAGCAAUAGUCUUCAUGUUAUAACAUAUCUCUAUCUCCAGCAUAAUCAAUCCUCAGAAGUGACUACGAGUAAAUGCAGAUAUACCAAUAGCCCCACCCCCUCUGGAGGGUGAACUGCAGGUCCCGAUGCCGGUUGGUUCUUUUAUAUUUUUAUUUUUGCCAUAAAAUUGGCGUAAGGGAAGAUGCUUUCAUCUCUCUCUCUCUCUCUCUCUCUCUCUCUAUAUAUAUAUAUAUAUAUAUAUAUAUAUAUAUAUCUCAAGAAAAAAUUUAACUUCAACAGGUUAAUAGAAUUCAACAAGACAAAUAGAAUGAACAGUAAUUGAGAAGGAUUCCCUAUCCAUUUAAAGAAAAUUAAAUGGUAAAGGGAUCUCAAAGUUCCUAACAAAAUUUGAGACAAAUUACUAUCUAAACAAAAAAUGAACUAGAACCAUUAACCAGAGAAAAAGAGAGAGUAAACCACUUUAGAUAAUCAUGUAUAGGCAGCAAGUUUUCUCAUUGUAGGUAAUCCAGUCCAUAUAAGCUCCUUAUCCGGGAGGAACAGCAAUGAAUGACAUUGGUCACACUAGAAAAAGGUAGAAUGUAGAAACAGAAAUCAAACCAAAGGAAACAGGAUCUCACGAGCCUGUGGGAUGAAGCAAAUGAGAGUGGCAGGUAUACCUAUACAGUAGGAAAAAGAAGGAAUAAUUCGUGAAUUCACAUGAAGUUCCUGUCUACAGUAAGUCGAUCCAUAAUAAUCAUGAUUAGACAAAAUAGAAGCAUUUAUAUAAGUAAAUAAACAGUCCUACUCGCGAUUAAGUUGCCUCUGUUGGUUUUAAAAUAGGACUUUUUCCAUUAAGUCCAUACAAAAACAUAUAAGAGGAGUUGUCCUGCUCUUUGUGUGUUGUUUCCAUUAUCUAAUGGAAAUAAGUUUGUGGCCGUGCUUCCCAGCAUAUAACCUUCAAAAGCAUCCAAUUUACUAGAACAAUGUCAUUAAAUAGCACCACCCCUUCUAGAGCAGGAUAGCAAAAUCGGAGGUGGGGAUCUAUUGGUGGCUUAGAUAAAGCUAACUAUUUGUCAUGAAAUGUUCAAAAUAUGAGGCUUAAUGUUGCCGCAGAUCAACUUCCACCGUUGUGCUUCAAGUCACUUAGACAAUGCAUUUCUAAGGUGAGGCUAGCCAUCAAAAUAGUUGAUACUCUCAGCAAUGGAACUUGGUUUAGCAACGGCAACUACUGAACCAGUACACCUUUUGCACCUCUAUCCUCACAUUGAUCAUACAGAAAGCAGAAACAUGCCCAGGCAUCCAUCAAGACCAGCUUUUUAAUAUGUGGGGAAAAUAUUAAUUGAUAUUGAGACAAGCCUAACCCUACAAAAUCUCUAUUCUAGACGUCGAUUCCUAUAUUACAAGUCUGCUGGCAAGAGAAUCAGCCACAACAGAGAGCAUUGCAACUGGAUGGGCCUUUUACAUCUUUAUACCUGGUGAGACAACACAAUACUCAACCAAAGGGGCUUGGGUCUCCCAUUUCAUAGAAGGCCUUCGGAAUGGAUUGUUUAUGUAUCAUUAUUUUGAGCUAAAUGAAAAAGGUGGUAAAGGCAUGGCGGAUAGUUAAUGUUAAGGGUUGUCGUAUAGUCUGUCUAUUGAUGAAGUUAGAGUCCACAUGCAAGUGCCUUGUGCGAGAAAAAUACACCUAGGGGGUGCAAAUAUUGGCCAUUCUGGCCGACCAGGGGUAGCGUGGCAUCAGAUCCACCCUCCUAAAACAGAGCCUGCCCUCAGGCUCUGCGCGGUUCUCGCUGGUCAUUCAAAACGGCUAGCAGGGACUUUUGUCCUUUUUAUUUAAAAAAUAUUUGAGAAAAUCAGCACAAAGUCUCAAAUAAGAGGGGUAAAAUGAUCAUUUUGGUAGUAAAAAAUUUGGGGUGUCUACACAUUAUCACCCUACUAGUUGGCCAUGAUCAUUAGUUUUCACUUUAAUGUUCUCACCUAUAGGCAAUUGUGCAACAUUCAAAUGCCUAUUUUGGCCUACUUUAGCCACCUUUUUUGUCAAUAAACAACAAGUUAUGUAAAGUUUUAUAUGCUUUUAAUAAAAUAAAUAACAAGAUAUAUAACAUUUAAUAAAAUUAGUUUUCUUUACUUAUGGAAGAAGAAGAAGCCACCUCUCAAGCCAAAAACCCAUAAAUGUUUCAAGUUAUUUACAUUAUAAUUAUGUCAGAACCAAAACUAUCAAUGCCAUAAAAUAAUGAAGAGAAAUGUAACAAUCAUAUAUUCAUUUUAACUACCAAAAAUAUGGCAAGUCAUACAUGAAACAUUCAAAAAAGAAACAAUAUACAAAAAAAAAAACAGCCUUGACAUCAUUACUCAAAGAAAAAGAAAAUGUACAUGUAGUCAAUCAUCAACUUUCUCCCUUCGGUUGAUGUUUGCCUUCGAAGUAUAAUCAUGUUAACUGUGGUCCCUCUCAUUUUUGCCCUAACCCAAUCUAUGUUACUAGCUUCAUCCGUUGUGGCAUUGUCUUCAACAUCAUGUGGACUACUAUUCCAGCAUAUUUGAAAAUCAUCAACGCUCAUGCCAUUAGCUUAUUCAUGCAUAGAAAAUAAAUUUCUUAGAUUUGUCUUUAUCACAACUUUCCAUCUUCAUUUAAAUGGGAUUCAAUAUAGAAAACUUGUUGCCAUAACAAAAGGCUCAUCUUGCAUGCAUCUGCGAGUAUAGUUAACAAAUGUGAAUCCAAACUCAUCCUCUUUUAUACCGUUUAGUCCAAAAACAUUGAACUAUUCACAUUUCAAUAACUCAUAGUUAAAUUUUCCAUAAUGUUGCUACACAAUAAUAUCUUCAAUAGCACCAUAGUAACCCUCUCGAUGAGAGGAACCUAGAGGUAUCUAUUGAAGCUAGGAGAGGUCCAAAUCCGUCUUGACAUAUCAGACAAAUCAACAGAUUUCAAGAACAUAAUACCCAUGGGGUAGUAUAUGAGAUAGUUUACCAAUCUUAUGUUUUUAUAUUUGUCUAUCCAAUUGCCAUCAUGCUACACCAUAAAUCUUUCUAGCCUAUUCUUAAGUGAUCACAAUAUUCUGUCACAACUUUGAUUGUAGAAUCAAGAAUGUUGCUUCACAAUUUAUGAUGAAAGAACAUUUUAUACCCUUGGCCUAGUGAUCGCAUCUGCCAUAAGCUGAAAAUGGAAACUGAAUGUACUAAAUGGAAUGCAUCCAUCAUAGAGCCAUCACCCUUCUGCACUGUCUGCCUGCUUGACAAUGUCUCUUGAAGUCAUUGUUGUGUGGAUCUUAGACUGAGCACCUGAAGCAAUAUAAGCAGGGAAAAAACUCUUCAUCAAGUCAGAUCCAGCAUUCUUCCUCUCACUAGGUACUCUACCACCAAGUCCACUACUACAGCAACGGAUCCUACUACAACCAUGUCCUCCUACAGCUGUACCUCUUGUUUUGAACUCUGAAGUGCCUUCAUGCAUGAUGCCUUUCCCUCUAUCUUGUGUGCUUCAUUAACCUGUUCUCAAGUUAAUAUGAACAUCCUCUUCUUCGAGAUCAAUUGUACCAUGUUCAUUUUCACUGUUAUUUUCCUAGAGAUCCCCAUAUCUUCUUUCGGCCUCAUCUGUUUCUUUUUCAAUCCUAUUUGCCUUCAUAGGGCCUUACACAGAGCAAUGACUUCAUGGUGCCACAUUAUGAUGCACCCUAAAAGUAUAUGGUACUUAAAACGAGAUAUUCCUCCUGAUAUUAUAUUUUGUCAGUAAUUACAUUUAAUUCUAGCCAAUCAAUCGAAGUCACCCUUGCACCCCAAUGCCAUGCAGAAUUAGAACUCAUAUCUUCAUAAAAUAACUAAAAACCAAUAGUAAACUUUAUAAAGUAAUAGAAAGCUAUGGUAAAAUCUCAAAAGAGAGAGACUUUUACCUUUCAUAGAUAAGAAAUGUAAAAGCCAGCAUGCUGAUAUGGUCUAUAUGCCUACAAAACAUGAAAACUAUGUAUCAUAGGUGUAGUGUAUAGGUCCUUGGGCUUAUACGCUAUGUAUUGUAUGGUACAUAUGACAUUGCUUUGAUCAAUUAUUGAAUUGGUGGACGCAAGGAUCUACUAGAGAUUCGCUCGGGAAAACUUAGGGUUUUCCAUCCUAAGUUACUUUAUAUCUUUAAACAAUAAAUCUUGCAAAGGUUACCUUGGCCUACAAAUGACUCCUCUAUUUUCUAAUUCGGAAACUGUAAUUUUCCAGUUUGUUACUGUUUUUUCCUUACGAAUCCUUCUUUGAUAAACAUGGCCUGAAAAUGUGCCAAAUUGGAUUUGUAUUUUUUGUCCAUUCUUGAUACUCAGGAUGAGGAUAUUUGCUUGCUUCUUAUAUAGCUGAAACAUACACCAGUUCCUUUCCUUCGAUUUUAUGAUUUGGAAAUUUUGAGAUGGUUUCAAAACCACUCUGAGUGAUCAACUUCAUGUGGAACCUGCAUAUAAGCCAGGUAGAUCAUCUUCUUGCACUAUGUAAACUCAAGCGAUGGCUGAAUCAGAGAACCCUAACUCGUGUGUGACCCUUUCCCCAACUCUUACAGUGAAGGCUGUUAUGAAAGAUCUAGAUCCAGCCCUCAAAAUCACAACAUCCCCUAUCAAUGGUGGAAACUACAUCAUUUGUGUGAGUCUACAAGUUUAUAUCUCUGCAAGAAGUCGAAGAUCAGGUAUUGCCGAAGGUUCCUUUUUCUAGAUUCAACCAAGGAUAUAUAAGACACGUUAGCAGAGAUAUACGAUGAAGACCAAAACCUGGUGGGAGUUUAUCUCCUUGAAUAUGACAUAGCCAAUUUCACAAAGGGAGAGAAGUUGUUUCAUGGAUACUUGAGUUCGCUCAAGGCCAUGUGGGAGAAAAGUUUGAUCACCUAAGAAAUGAUAUUCUCAUGUCUUACCCAUUUCCAUCGUUCAACAAUGUCUUUUCCAUUGUGUAAUGGGAGGAAACUAGACAAUGAGUCAUGAAAACUGAAGAUAAGCUCAAGAAGGAAUUUUCUCUCUUCUUAUGACAAGGUUGCCUUUGUUGUCAAGUCAGAAGCACCUACACCUUCGCAUGGAGACAAGAACUACUUUGUAGCAGACACUUGAUCCAGUUGUGGAAAAGGAUCAAUGUCUUGUACCUAUUGCAAGAAACGGGGACAUACCAGAGAAUGUUGUUGGAACCUAAAUGGUCAUCCAGGGAGAGGCAGAAGUUAGGCACGUGACUCUGGACAGCGAUGUGAAGAUGAUAUAGCUGAGAUUGCAAGCCUGCUCAAACAGAUCACUCUCACCAAUCUAGCCAUUGUUGUGGAACAAGAAGUAGAUAAGGGUUUGUUCAUUCAUAGCUUCCUUUAAUAACAUAUAGUGGAUCAUUGAUAGUGGUGCUGCAGACUACAUGACUGCAUGCUUAGAUCUCUUGUUGAUGUCAAAUAUGAUAAAAGAUUCAUGUUAAACUUCUCGAUGGAUCUAUUACCUCUGUAGUAGGCUAUGGUUCAGUUUAUAUAAAAAGUCCAUUACAUUAGAUAAUGUGUUGCAUAUGCCUAAACAUGAAAUGAACUUGAUAUUUGUGAAUAAACUGAGUAACGAUUUAAACUGCUACAUAUUGUUCACUGGAAAAAAGGUGAUACUAGUGGACAUCAAGUGUCAGACAAAGAUUGGUGAAUGCAGAGAAGAAAGCAACUUGUAUUACUUUACUCCAAAGAACAAUCCAAGAGUUCAUACUACAAUAAAGACAACAAAGGAUACUCGGGUGUGGCACUAGAGAGUAGGCCACCCUUCAAAUAAAGUCCUAAGGACUAUGUUUCCCAAUUCUCAAUUUGUUGUUUAUAAUUGUGAGGCAUGUACCUUGGGAAAGAUGACCAGGUUGUUUUUUACUGAUUCUGAACAUGUAGCUGAAUCAUGCUUUGACUUAAUAUAUAUUGAUGUUUGGGAGCUGUUUGCAUCCCAAAA
Long non-coding RNA from Nymphaea colorata (pocket water lily), 8321 nucleotides. RefSeq lists it as uncharacterized. The record is from RefSeq and is a predicted model, not a curated record. The transcript has 3 exons. Lineage: Eukaryota; Viridiplantae; Streptophyta; Magnoliopsida; Nymphaeales; Nymphaeaceae.